GCCACCUUAGCUCAGCUGGUAGAGCGGUUCCUUCGUAAGGAAAUGGUCCGCGGUUCGAAUCCGCGAGGUGGCUCCA
RNAcentral lists this transfer RNA (76 nucleotides) under Candidatus Ryanbacteria bacterium CG10_big_fil_rev_8_21_14_0_10_43_42. Its description in RNAcentral is "tRNA-Thr". It matches the Rfam family "tRNA". From Rfam's summary of the family: Transfer RNA (tRNA) molecules are approximately 80 nucleotides in length. Their secondary structure includes four short double-helical elements and three loops (D, anti-codon, and T loops). Lineage: Bacteria; Candidatus Ryaniibacteriota. The record is from RNAcentral.